CCCUAUUCAGUGUAACAGCUGUGGUAGUGGGUUUGGUCGCUCGCAUUUAAAUUGGAAGGGUAAUGGUGGACCGCACUUCUCCCUUAGUAGGACGUUGCGACCUGUCAAAUAAUAUUCUAAGUAUUUGGCUAAUUUGUCUGUUUUUAGGCAGUACUGAAAGGUAUUUCCUUUAACAGUUUUAGCCAUUUAAAUACUGGAUAAAAUUGACAGUAACGAAUCAUGGUGUUGAGCCACUUGAAAUUGUAUAUUUUAUAUGUAUAAUGGAAAGUGUCCUUGUGGCUGUUUGCAAGUGGGUUGGUAAUUAGUUUUAGUCGGAUUUUGGUCCGUCUAGCUAUUCCGCCUACUGUUGGUAAACUGUUCCUUGGACAGUGCUUAUAACACCGGUCGGCAGCGAUUCAGGUUCAGGCUCUUAUCCGACCCGUCUUGAAACACGGACCAAGGAGUUUAGCUGUACGCAAGUCAUUGGGUGUAUAAAACCC
This 479-nucleotide ribosomal RNA is filed under the name Panstrongylus tibiamaculatus. RNAcentral's name for it is "partial 28S ribosomal RNA". The record is from RNAcentral. Lineage: Eukaryota; Metazoa; Arthropoda; Insecta; Hemiptera; Reduviidae.